AAGAAUUUUCAAUUUCGCUUCUCUCCAAAUCUGCGUCUCCUCCCCUGUGCCGUUCCCCUCUCUCUUUCUUCCCCCCGUUCGCAUCCUUCCCCCCCGCCUCUCUCUCCCCCGUCUGCAUCUCCCCAGAGCAUUCUUGGAGUUGACAUUGAAAAUUUUUGACCCACCAUGAACGCAAAAGGGCAAAAACAAACCAAAACGGCAAGAUCCCGAGAAAUCAAAAGGACAAAAUCAAGAAUAAAAAAGUAAGAACGAUGGUCGAGGCUGGAGAUUUGGAGCUGAGUGGCCUUCAUCGCCAUCAACAGUUCACCUCUCAAUUUUCUCUCCGUUGACGAUGUGGGCAGCAAAUGAGGCUUUAUGUGAAAUUUGAAUUGCAUAGAGUUUAGACAUUGAGGCAAUCAGAUCCUGGAGCUUGGGUGCUAUUUCUGUGAUUACCAAGAGAGCUGGGAACUAAAGGUCAAACACUUGUGAAAACCAUCACUGGAGUAAUAUGAUUAGAAGUAACAACAGGAACACGACAAAUUUAAGUUAUUAGCUUUCUCUUUUUUGGAGUUGAUAAUUAAUUUAUAUAAUAAUAAUCUCUUGAGUGGGCAAGACAAUUUCGCUUGCUGAUCCAGUAAUGAAUACUAGUCUGGAGGAUUGCAGAAUUUAAAUAGUGGGAAUCUUUUGGAUUUGCUAAUGCCAUUAAUUGAUUUUAAGUUCCAACGACCAUGUUAAUUGUCCUCUAGCUCUUUGUAUUACUCUUUCAUGUCCCUCUUAUAAUUAUGGAUUUUUGACUGUUAUGAAAUAAUCUCCUAAACUCAAGUUACUCUUGCAUUUCAUUAAAUCUAAUUUAUUAACAUUUUGUGAAACUACAGGAGAGUUGAUUGAUAUAAUUUUUGUUCUAAUUUUACAGUUUAGGAAGUGUUAGAUGUUGAGUGACUUGAGUCAAAUGCCAUACCUCUAAUUUUUGUUUCUUUAUUAUUGAUUUUAAGUUGAUAAAUUUAGUUACUUUAAACUUUUAUAAAUUAAAAAAAUCGAUUGCUUGCUAUGACUUAGGAUGUAAUGAUUUGGAUCUCUGUACCCAAGCCUUUAUAUUACGUACUAUCCGCUUUGGACGUGCCUUGCGUCCACUUACUCCUCAUGGCUUUCUAUCGCUUCUCCUAGGAUUCGAACUCAUAACCCUUCCCUUAAUUAAGACUUAAGUUGAAUCUUGGUACCAAUUGGGUGAGAGCUCCGAGCUCAUGGAAUUGGUAUCCCAAUGAGUCGUCUAUCGAAUCGUUGCAAUUGAUGUUUGAUUCCGAAGAGAAAUCAUCGCACCUACGGUCUAACCAAUUGGGAGAGAAUCAAUAGAUUCCUUUUCGGGAGUGAUUCAUCUGAGGAAACCUUUGCACGCCUCCGUUACCUUUUGGGAACAAAUUGAUAGGAUCCCCAUGUCGCCAGUUGCCCAAUUGGUACCAGGAUCCAACUUAAGUCUUAUUUAAGGGAAAUGUUAUGAGUUCGAAUCUUGGAGGACGCGACAUAAAGCCGUGAGGGAUAAGUGGGCGCAAGGUCUGCCCAAAGCGGACAGUACGUAAGUUAACGGUUUGGGUACAGAGACCCGGGUUGUUACAUAGGAGGCCAAAUUCUAAAGUUCGCCUCACGACCUGUGAAACACAGAUCCGGCCCUAUUUGGGAAUGCGUACCAUAUGCAAGGGACUAAUGGGGAUUUUGUUUUUGGACAUUAGUUAUGUUUGAUUAGUAUGAAGUUUCUAAUAUUGCAGAAUAUCUAAAUGCAAUCCAGUUCAGCUGUGAAGUUAUGAUGAUUACCAUUUAUGAUCUGAUAUUAAAUCUUAUGAGGAAAUUAUGACAUGAUUACAGUGUUAAGUUUGAAGGGAUUGGAUAUGAAUUUGAGCAAUUUGUAACUCAACUGCUAAUUUGGUCUUGACACAAACUUUUUGCAUUGGCGCUGAAGAUCUACUUUGCUAUUAUUUGCAUCUACAUUGGCUCCCAAUUUAUAGAAAAACUGUUGGUCAUUUGUGCUAAACUUCGAGUUGAGGUUUCUUGCCACUUCCUUUGGUUUACCUAUGAUCUUAAAAUUUUUUCCGAAGUUGGUAACAUGAAGUAGGUAAUUAAUCUACUACCUUGUGGGUGCUUGUUUAACAUGGAUGCUAAUAAUUUUCAGUAAUUUAUUUUCCUUAAGGAUAAAAGCUUAUUUAAUUUCGUCUUUCUACACAACAACUGAUGCUCUUUUACAAAAUUUUGGGCAAUGUGGUCCAUCUUGUUGUCUUUGUUUAUUACGUGUUGUUGUACUCUGAUAUCUUUUAUUGUAUGUGCGUGCAUAUGGCAUGUUAUGCCAUUAUAUGAUUUCAAUAUUGCUGUCAACAUUAAUUUCUAUUCAAAUUUGGAUGGUAGGUAUAUUUCAAUUUUCCCCAGGGAUGUGAUGUCUGUAAUCAUCUCUGUUUAUUUCUGUGUGGUUAAAUCAUGACAAGCUUCUUCCAGGAUGGAGUCAUUUUGUGCAGCUCACUAUUGCUGUGUGAACAAAGAUGCUAAAAGGUCCAAGUAUUCUGCACUAAAAUUGAAGUCACAUACGAGGAGGCUGUUGCUUUAAACUGGCAAGAAGAGCUUAUCAGUGAAGAGGCAGCUUGGAUGGUCGAGAAUGAGCAGAACGCAAAAUGUGGAUCAGCUGACAGGGAAAAGAAGUCAAAGAAAAAGUAGGUUUGGUAAAAUCAGUUUAUACCUCGUGAACACUAGUUCCAUCCAAUUGGAAAUAGAGAAGAUGGGGUUACAGUUGAAGUUGUUGAACUUUUACUAGUUAGACAAUAGAAAAUGUUGAUAUCUAGGAUGUGUAUUGCGUUAGUCAAGAAAAAGGUGGCAUUGUCCUUCAAAUUUUUCUUCUUCAGUGAGAUCAAGUUCGUGAAGUAUUGCAUUUUUGUUUCUGUGAACAUAUUUUGGCUUUGUAAUCAAUGUUAAAUGUAUGAUAUCUUGUAAGAUUCUAUGCAAUGGAAA
Olea europaea var. sylvestris is the source of this 2964-nucleotide long non-coding RNA. RefSeq lists it as uncharacterized. The record is from RefSeq and is a predicted model, not a curated record. The transcript has 4 exons. Lineage: Eukaryota; Viridiplantae; Streptophyta; Magnoliopsida; Lamiales; Oleaceae.